This 796-nucleotide long non-coding RNA is filed under the name Junco hyemalis (dark-eyed junco). RNAcentral's name for it is "lncRNA (ENSJHYG00000014274.1)". The record is from RNAcentral. Lineage: Eukaryota; Metazoa; Chordata; Aves; Passeriformes; Passerellidae.
AUUAUACUACUUCUCUACUCCAGGGACACAUGGAAAUUAUAAAGCUGGAGACCAGACUGGAAGAUUUCUUGCCACAGUGACAUUCCAACUGCACACAGAAGGCUUGAGUGAGCAACUGAGAAAACAGAGAUGAUAAAAAGUAUCUAGCAAGUUGCUAACUUAUUUGUGCAGACAAGAUAUUUCUGCCGGUACCCCUACCUGGUGGACUGUGCAUGGGAUUCAGUGGAAGUUCUACAUUAGAGGAUGUGGGUAGAAGAAACAGGCCCCUCAAAUUUGGGGUGUCUGUUUUCAUCCUGCAUGAAAGAAAGGAGAUUUUUGCCUGCAACCAUUCAGCUGUGUCCAGCUCCAAGACUGAAAGGAGCUGUGUAAUGAAUGCAAAGUUGAAGAGAAUUGGAAAAAUGUGCUUCACAAGAAAAGAUCAAAGCAAAAAUCCCUGACAUACCACCUCCUCCCAGUCCAUGCCGUACUGCCCUGGCAAAAGUCUCCCAGAUUGUGCAGAUCAGAACCUGGACUCCACCUCAGCAAUGACCUGAAUGAUCCACAAGAAGAGGUGAGAGAAGCCUUGAAGAGGAAGCUUCAGAUGAAGGAUGGAAGCCAAGUUCUGCCUUUUCCUUCUGCUGGAGCUGACUGUUCCUCCUGGGCAAAACUACAGGACUUGCCCAUUAACUUUGUAAUGUACUUAAUUAACUCUUAACAGAGUAAAGUGAUUAUUCUUGGUUUGGGAGUGUAGAUUUUUUCCAUCUUUGUAAUUUUUUUUUUUCCAGCUGCUAACAUUGCACUGCAUGAUACGCUUGGA